ACUGAAUUACAGGCUCCUUACUUAAAUAAAUGUUCAUAACAUACUAAAUGUAUGUUCAUAUUGAAAUUGAUAGAAACCCAAAAAUUGGGAACUUUGGAAAUAAAGGUGGAGGGUAAAAAAAAAAACAUUUUCCUGUCCCCAAUAACCUAUGACUUAUGAUACUUUUGCUGAAAUUCUCCAGUCAUUCUGUAUUUAACAAAAUUCUUCCAACAACACUUUACAUACUGAUACUUUAAACUGAUACUUUAAACUACGCUCUGAAUGCCCGCGAUUUCGCGGGUGUGUUCUAGUAAGGUUUAUAA
RNAcentral lists this long non-coding RNA (302 nucleotides) under Mytilus galloprovincialis (Mediterranean mussel). Lineage: Eukaryota; Metazoa; Mollusca; Bivalvia; Mytilida; Mytilidae. The record is from RNAcentral.